GAGAAUGUAGCUCAACUGGAUAGAGCGAUAGCCCUCUUAGCUAUAGGUCAUGGGUUCGAGUCCCAUCAUUCUCG
Molecule: transfer RNA, 74 nt
Organism: Fonticula alba
Lineage: Eukaryota; Rotosphaerida; Fonticulaceae
Rfam family: tRNA
About the family: Transfer RNA (tRNA) molecules are approximately 80 nucleotides in length. Their secondary structure includes four short double-helical elements and three loops (D, anti-codon, and T loops).
Source: Rfam